AUCUUGUUGGAGAUCCCUGUGCACCUGGGGCUUUCUAAAGGCAGAAUUGCAAGGAAAUCCUUGAGAUCUGCAAGAUGCAAGUAGCAGGAUUGGCCUUGAAUUGAAUCCAGUUUCUUGAGACAUUUGAAGCAAUAGGGAGGCUGUUAAAUGUGAGCGUGUAUCGGACUAAGCAAGCAAAUCUGCAAGAAUAAUUGGUCCUGGUUUAAAUCAUAUUCUGUGAAAGAACCAUUUUAGAAGGCACUGAUGGAAGACUGCAAAAGCUGUUCUAUUUCAAUGUCCAAUACGUCUCAGACAAGACCAGGCACGAAUUCCAAGAAGCAUGGGCUCUGUUUGUGUGGUGUAACCACCCCGAUGCAAUUUUGUAGAAUACUAAAAAUCAAAGGGCAGAACUGUGCUCAUUAGUGCCUGAAUUCAUGCAGAAUGUACCAGUGUUAACCUUUAACUGGGUUCCAGUGCUCUUAACAUUACCUUUCCUAUGGAACAAUUAAAGCUGAGAGCAGCAGCUAGGAUAUGG
Molecule: long non-coding RNA, 514 nt
Organism: Gallus gallus (chicken)
Lineage: Eukaryota; Metazoa; Chordata; Aves; Galliformes; Phasianidae
Source: Ensembl